UUUCCGCAGGUGAACCUGCGGAAGGAUCAUUAUUGUAUAACCGAGGUGCGAGGGCUGUCGCUGACCCGAAAGGUCAUGCACGCCCGAGUGCCCUCACACACAUCCAUCUCACCCCUAUGUGCACCACCGCGUGGGUCCCCCUUUGGCUUGUUCGGAGGGGGGCUUACGUUUUCACACAAACUUUGUAUGCAGUGUAGAAUGUAUUUUUUGUUUUUGCGAUCACGCAAUCAAUACAACUUUCAACAACGGAUCUCUUGGCUCUC
RNAcentral lists this unclassified non-coding RNA (263 nucleotides) under plant metagenome. RNAcentral's name for it is "partial contains small subunit ribosomal RNA, internal transcribed spacer 1, and 5.8S ribosomal RNA". The record is from RNAcentral.